This 305-nucleotide ribosomal RNA is filed under the name uncultured bacterium. RNAcentral's name for it is "bacterial SSU rRNA". It matches the Rfam family "Bacterial small subunit ribosomal RNA", at positions 337 to 640 of the family's 1533-position model. The record is from RNAcentral.
CCCUACGGGAGGCAGCAGUGAGGAAUAUUGGUCAAUGGGCGGGAGCCUGAACCAGCCAAGCCGCGUGAGGGAAGAAGGUACAGCGUAUCGUAAACCUCUUUUGUCAGGGAACAAAGGCGGGGACUAGUCCCCGGAUGAGGGUACCUGAAGAAAAAGCAUCGGCUAACUCCGUGCCAGCAGCCGCGGUAAUACGGAGGAUGCGAGCGUUAUCCGGAUUUAUUAGGUUUAAAGGGUGCGCAGGCGGCCUGUUAAGUCAGCGGUAAAAUCACGGGGCUCAACCCCGGCGCGCCGUUGAAACUGGCGGG